Molecule: ribosomal RNA, 826 nt
Filed under: uncultured marine bacterium
Lineage: Bacteria
Description: bacterial SSU rRNA
Rfam family: Bacterial small subunit ribosomal RNA
Source: RNAcentral
GCAAGUCGAGCGCGCCUUCGGGCGAGCGGCGGACGGGUUAGUAACGCGUGGGAACGUGCCCAGAUCUACGGAAUAGCCACUGGAAACGGUGAGUAAUACCGUAUACGCCCUUCGGGGGAAAGAUUUAUCGGAUUUGGAUCGGCCCGCGUUAGAUUAGGUAGUUGGUGGGGUAACGGCCUACCAAGCCUACGAUCUAUAGCUGGUUUUAGAGGAUGAUCAGCAACACUGGGACUGAGACACGGCCCAGACUCCUACGGGAGGCAGCAGUGGGGAAUCUUGGACAAUGGGGGCAACCCUGAUCCAGCCAUGCCGCGUGAGUGAAGAAGGCCCUAGGGUCGUAAAACUCUUUCGCCUGUGAUGAUAAUGACAGUAGCAGGUAAAGAAACCCCGGUUAACUCCGUGCCAGCAGCCGCGGUAAUACGGAGGGGGUUAGCGUUGUUCGGAAUUACUGGGCGUAAAGCGCACGUAGGCGGAUUAGAAAGUUAGAGGUGAAAUCCCGGGGCUCAACCCCGGAACUGCCUUUAAAACUACUAGUCUAGAGUUCGAGAGAGGUGAGUGGAAUUCCGAGUGUAGAGGUGAAAUUCGUAGAUAUUCGGAGGAACACCAGUGGCGAAGGCGGCUCACUGGCUCGGUACUGACGCUGAGGUGCGAAAGUGUGGGGAGCAAACAGGAUUAGAUACCCUGGUAGUCCACACCGUAAACGAUGAAUGCCAGUCGUCGGGUAGUAUACUAUUCGGUGACACACCUAACGGAUUAAGCAUUCCGCCUGGGGAGUACGGUCGCAAGAUUAAAACUCAAAGGAAUUGACGGGGGGCCCGCACAAGCG